CCAGGAUUUGCGAUGUUUUGGCUUAAUUGUAAUUAAAGGAAAUGCUUUGUUGAACUUAAAAGCAUAUUAAAGCACAUAAAAGCAUAUUAAAAAAAUCACUGAAAAGUGAUAAUUUUAAAAUUACAGGAAAGUGCCACUCGGAGGUUAAGCAAAAUUAAAUUAAAACUUGUAGCUACUUUAGUUUUUUCAAUUUAUAAAUCUAGUUUAAAUUAAACUAAAAAGAAAUAUAUCUUUUUUGUAAACAAACACCAUAGAGAAAUAAAAAAAAGAGAGACGUCAAAGGAUAGGGAAUAACUGGCACAAUCUUUCUGCGCAGGUAAGUAGCACAUAGGGGCGCUGCUGUUUCUGAAACUAAAAUUUACCCAUGGUACAAUAAAGUAUUUUGAUUGUACCGUGAAGAAAAUUUACAUUUUUGACAAUUGACAUUGACUGUGUGUUUUUAGGACGCCAUUUUGUUGUGCAAUUUCCCGGCCCGGCAUAAAUAUAUAAUUUGGCGGUUUGUACAUGGUUUAUACUGAAUACUACUGAACUGAACAUAUUUUCAUUACUGGAUAGUGCUGGAAUUGCUGAAAUUGAAUAUCGGAUUGGGAGUAUAGACAGACUCGACAAAGACAUCAACUUUUGAAAAGGAUAAUUACGAAGUACAGCAAAAUUGAAGAUAACAUUAAUGUCAUUAGGAACUUGGAAUUACAGAGAAGUGAUAUAGACUAAUCAUCAUCAUCAUCAGCCCCUCUAGAUCCACUGCUGGACAUAGGCCUCCCAUGUUUGUAGACAAGUAGACUAAUAGAAUAACAAGUAUAGUGUAAGUACAUGUAAGUAGGUAGGUUAACACCUUGGCUAGCGUGUGAGAUGCCAGCAUUUCACACAAAAUAUUGACUGUAAUACCGUGUGAGACGCUGGCUUCCAUUGUUAUUAAAUGAUUUAAAAUGCUCUAAAGCGAGAGUUUUUAGUUUAUCAUAUUGGUUUCAAAAUAAGGAUAAAAUGGUACAAAAUUACAGGUUAUUAGUUUAAGUGAUCGCUAACCAAGGUGUUAAACGUUAAUAAAGGUAUGGUAGUUAUAUUGUAUGUAGGUACAGUUGAGUCCAUGGUUCUCACCCACAUAACAAUGAUGUUCGUAUCAUGUUCUAAGCAUAUACUACCAACAUUCGUCAGAGUAUAUUCUUUUUAGUAUAUGCGUAGUACAAGCAUAGCAUGUACCUUAAAAAACAUUCUAAAUUUCAUGUUCUUUGCACAUACUUUAAAGUAUAUUCUCGUACCGAAUAUACUGAGUACAUUCGUGUACGUAGUAACUCGGAAUAUUCGUAAAAGUUUAUUCUUAGAAUGUACCUUUACCGAAUAUUCUUAGCACAUACUUAUAAGUACAUUCUUAACACAUACUUAUAAGUAGAUACUAUUCUCAGAAUAUACUUUUACCGAAUAUUCUUAGCACAUACUUAUAAGUACAUACUUAACACAUACUUAUAAGUAGAUACUUUUAAAAUAUCCUAAAAAUAAUAUAUAUGUAUGUAUAGGAAGAAUAAUGUUAGCCUAUAGAUUAUCAACUUCGUUAAGAAUAAUUAAUGAAAUUUAAAAAUUUAUGUAUGUAGGUACUAUUAAUUAAACUACCGAAUUCAUUAUUUAAAAUUGUUUUAAUUGUAUGGUAAAAAUGUUUAAGAAUUAAUUGUAUUAACGAAAAAGGAGAAAUUGUCGUUUCGCUUUCAUAACUGAAAUGCAUUUACUAUUUUGAUUAAGUUUAUUGAGUAUUCUUAUGAAGAAUUUUAUUUUUACAUGGAAUUGACAUUCAGGUAAGCUGUGUGGCUGAGCCAAAACCCACAACCGGCACAAACAAAGCGGAAACGACCGCUGCAUACCUGCAUAGGGGUUAGCGGGUAGGGGGUUGGGAACAAAGGAAAAAUACAAAAUAUGAAAAUAGUUACUGAAUAGGCAUUUGGCAUUUGUGUCUACACUUAACACUAACAAUGUCUAUGCUGUGUUGUGAGGAAGACCAAGUAUUUCAACCAGGAAUAGGAACAUGCAUAAUUAAACGUUUUAUUUUGUUUGCUGUCAACUUACAAAUAAAAAAUUCAUUUUGGUACUUCAAUAUUACUUAAAUAGUAAGUAUGUAUAUAGGUACAUAUAAGCAACAUAUAAAUUUUAGUUAUUUACAUACAUAUGUUACAUAAUAUUUAUUUGGGUACGAUAGGUAUAUGAAUAUGAAUAUAUAAAUUUAUAUAUUCAGCAUUUUUAUUUUUAUAUGCACAUAAUAACUAAAUAUAUAUACCUACUUACCUAUAUAAUAUUGAUAUAACUAACUAAAAUUUAUAUAAUAUUUUAUAUUUACUUUUUAAGUAAUAUUGUAGAAUGUACUAACUACAUUCUCAUAUGUAAUAUGUAAAUUUAGUAGAAAGUAGAACCUAGGAUGAGAUUCGGUGAUGCUGAAAACAUGCUUCUGAGCAAUAUAGCACUUCCUUGUAAUAUUCUUCCCAUAUACUAAAAAGUACAUUCUUCCUAUAUACUAAAAGAUGUGAGGUAGUACAUUCUAAGUAUAUAAAUAGAAGGUUUAUAGCACCUUCUUAGAAUAUCCUAAAAAGUAUAUUCUUGGUAUAUACUGAGAAGAAGUGCGGUAGUACAUUCUAAGUAUAUACAUAGAACGUUUAAGUACUGUAAUGUAGUACAGUCAAACCCGCUUAUUGGAAUAGCCUUUGUGCCAAGUAAAAGUAUUCCUAUAACCGGGAUAUUCUAAUAACCGAUCAUUGGUUGCUACUAUAAAUGUUUCGGGACCUCAAAUUUCUAUUCCUUAAACCGGGAUAUUCCUUUAAGAGGUAUUCUAAUAAGCGGGUUCGACUGUAUAUACUCAGUAUGUGCUCUGCACAUUCGCAAUGGUAAGUACGCAUAUUCUUAGUAUAUACUUUUUCUGAAAAGUAUGUUCUAUGAAUCUACUAAGAACAUGAAAUUGUUAUGUGGGCAUUAAUACCUGGAGAGAUAAAACACAUACUUGUUACUUAAUAGCACCAUUGUGUUCCACACAUGACACUAAAGACAAACCAGCUACUGCCUGUUAUUAAGUAAACAUACAUGUUAUUUUUAUGAACUUUCUAGAUUCAGUACAUCGAAAAAAUAGAGGUGCAAAAAAGACGCUUGGGGACGUUUUCAGAUUUAAGUACAAUUUGCAACAUUUCUGGUUUGUUUAUCGUUUGUUUUUCACAACUAAUUUUAUUUUGGCAUUAAUUUACAUACAAAGUUCACCUCAUUCACACAGAUUGUCAUAACCACUUUCUGCCAAUGGACUCAACUGUAAAAUUAGUUUAUCAUUUUAUAGUGUAAAUACAAAUAAAAAACUAGUAUUGUAACAAAAGUCAGUGUUUUGUAAGUAGGUAGGUUAAAUAUCAAUAAAGCUUCUGUUUAGUUACAAUUUAUAGUGGUUAUAUUGUAUGUAGGUAAUAUUAGUUGUAUCAUUUUGCAAUGUCAAAUUCUAAAUCCAAACCCAGUAAAUAUGUUCACGGAUGUUUAGCUUCCUAUUGUAAUAACAAGUAUUUUCAUCCUGUCACAGACCCAGAGUAUACAAAUAAAAAGUUUUUUAGAUUUCCAGAUAAAGAUUUAAAAAUACGUCAUGACUGGUUUGAAAUUAUUGGUAAUUGAAUUUACUGAAACUAGGUGUUAUUUAUGUGAAGAUCAUUUUGAGGAAACACAAUUUACAAGCAGUUUAAAAACAAAACUAUUAAAUAAUGCAGUGCCCUCCAAAAUAAUUCACAUAUCCAAUGUCCAUGAUCAACUUUUGCCUAUACCUGCACAUUCUUCUGAUGAAAUCUCUGUUUCAAAUGUACACAUUUUUAGUAACAAAGAAAUAGUUCCUCCAUUAAUAACCCAGUCAAGAAUAAACGCUCAAUUUCCAGUCAGCAUGAUAAUGAGUAUAGUAUUACACCUAAUUUAGACCUAAACACCUAAACAUAUUACACCUAAACAUUAGAAAAAAAGCCGCAACUCGAUAAAACUGCCUUGUCGAAAAAACACUAAGAGCCGAAAAGUUUUAAAAAUAUUGAAUUUAACUAAUGAUAUCACCAUAAUAAUUUAAUUGGAACGUACACAAGAGUUUGGGGGGUUUAAGGGAACAAAACCCCUAUAAAAUUUUUAUGGGGUACACAAAUUUUACUAUAAUUUUUCUUUAAGAUUCCUGCCAUAAAAAUGCCACAUGUCCAUUUUCAAUAAAAAAUCUCUAAUAGUUUUCAAUAUAUUCGAAAAAAUCGAUUUUCAUUUUGUAACUUCAAAGGGCUGUAACUUUUUUAUGUGUAUAUUUGUAAUAAGGUAAGUUAGGUUCAUUCAAACUAUUUUUGGUCAAAGAAUAGGUGAUUUAGUUUAUGACCUGUAUUUUUGUUACACUCUGUAUAUAUGUAUCCUAUUUUUCUAAAAAGUUCUGAGGGAAAUGUAGAAUAACUUAUAAGGUUUUUUUAGGCUACUAGACAAAUUUGUAAUAUAUAUCUGCAUUUUGUAAAAGAUAAGAUAAUUAAAGAAUAAAGAGCGGGGACAUGCAUGCAUUUUGUGUUGAUCUGUGUUUUACAUCAUUAUUUCAAAACAAUUUUACUGCAUAGAUUUUCUUAUUUUGUUUUAUCAGCACUCCAUACAUGCAUGCGGUAAGUGGGGGGUCCCCGUGAGGAUUAAUAAAAAUAUAAUAUAUGUAGUUUUUUCCCAGUGUUUAUAUUAUUUUCUAUUUUUCUGAAAGUUCUGAAAAAAAAUAUUUUUCUUUAGAUAUUUUUAGGCUACUAAUCAAACUAGUAAUAUUUGCAUUUUGUAAAAUAUAAGAUGAAUAAAGAGGUCGCCGUGAAGAUUAAUAAAAAUAAAA
RNAcentral lists this long non-coding RNA (4816 nucleotides) under Diabrotica virgifera virgifera (western corn rootworm). Its description in RNAcentral is "uncharacterized LOC126878952". The record is from RNAcentral. Lineage: Eukaryota; Metazoa; Arthropoda; Insecta; Coleoptera; Chrysomelidae.